AGAAGUUAUUCCUGCUUUAUCCUCAGAGCUGUGAACACUGUUUUGGAUUCCUGGAAAAUAACUGUGAAAAAAAGAAGUAGUGGAAUUUUUUCUGCACUGAAAAAACAGUUGGGUUGCCAGAAAUUUGAGAAAAGAAAUCUACAGUCUGGUACUGAGCCUGUGUAGUUUCUUCUGCAGUACACAUGAGCUCUGAUUUCAGCAAAAAAAUUUCUGCGGGAAUCCCACCUCCACAAUUUUUUGCAGGUUAUAAAAACCACAAUUUUUUGCUGAGUAUAAAAAGUCCAGGCACAUCUCACGUAAGCCAUUCUUGCUUUAUCCUUGGAGCUGUACAUUAUUCUUACUUUUUUCUUGGAGCUACAAACAUCCCUUUUGAACACCUGGAAAAGAAUCUGCAAAAAAGAAACAGUAGAGUUUUUUCUGCACUAAAAAGAAUCAGAUGUGAAUCGGAAAUUCGAGGAAAUAAAUAAUCUGCUGUCUUCCUGAUAAAACAAUAAAGAGAAUCUGCAGUCCUUCUAUAAUUGAGAAGUGGACCGAUUGAGCAGCAACAGAAGGAAAAGAACUGCUGAACUUUGCAGACAACCUUGUCAUCAUCGUUGUCAACCUCAGCUUAAUAUCAGUAGAGCAAGACUUUGUAUACAUUUAUAAGUAACAGGUGAGCCAGCCACAAAGAGCAUGUUAAAAUCAGUGACAGCAGUCUAGAAGGGGUUUGUGAGAAUUCAGCUUUUAAAAAUCGAAUAUGUAGAGGCAUAAUAGUCACUCAUGAUGGGUUCAAAAAUCUCAGACAAUUUGUGCCACAUGUCUCCUGGUUUUCACCAAUAGAGUGUAAGUCCUGGAUUGGUUAUGAACUGUAGAUUAACGCUGAAGAAAACAUAAAAGGGUAGGAACUUAAGGGGAUGGGACCUGAAUAAGUUGAAAGAACCAGAGAUUGUGGAGACCUUCAGAGAGAGCAUCAGGCAACAGUUGAGUAGAGCUCGGGAAAGCAAUACAGUACAAGAUGAAUGGGUAGCUUUAAGAGAUGAAAUAUGAUGAAAGGAGAAAUUUAAAAUUGCAGGAAAUGAAGUAGGCAAAAGGGAAUACAAACGUUUAAAGAAUUAGAUUCACUAGAGUUGCAAAAUUGCUAAGCGGGAAUGGCUGGAGGACAAAUGUAAUGAUUUAGAAGCAUAUUUCACUAGGAUAGAUACUGACUACAGGAAAAUUGAAGAGGUCUUUUGGGAAAAGAGAAGCAGCUGUAUGAAUAUCAAGAGCUCAGAAGAUAAACCAGUCCUAAGCAAAGAAGGGAAAGCUGAAAGGUGGAAUGAGUAUAUAGAGGUCUAUAUGAGGGAGAUGAGCUUGAAACAGUAUUAUAGAAAGAGGAGUUGAUAUAGAUGAAGAUGAGAUAGGAGAUAUGAUACUGCAAGAAGCAUUUGACAGAAUACUGAAAGACCAAAGUCUAAACAAGGCCUCAGGAGUAGACGACAUUUCAUUAGAAUUAUUUGUAGUCUUGGGAGAGUCAGCCAUGACAAAACUCUUCCAUCUCAUGUGCAAAAUGUAUGAGACAGGCAAAAUACCCUCAGACUUCAAUGAAUGUAAUAAUUUCAAUUCCAAAGAAAGCAGGUCCUGACAGGUGUGAAUAUUACUGAACUAUCACUUUAAUAAGUCACCAGUGCAAAAUACUAACACAAAUUCUUUUCACAUGAAUGGAAGAUGACUUCAGGGAAAUCAGUUUGGAUUCUAAAGAUUUGUAGGAACUUAUCUUAGAAGAUAAAGGUAAGGAAAGGCAAAGCCACAUUAAUAACAUUAGUAGACUUAGAGAAAGCUUUUGAAAAUGUUGACUGGAAAUUCUGAGGGUAGCAGGGGUAAAAUACAGGGAGUGAAAGGCUAUUGACAACUUGUACAGAAACCAGACAGCAGUAAUAAGAGUCAAGGGUCAUGAAAGGGAAGCAGUGGUUGAGAAGGGAGUGAAAAAGGGUUGUAGCCAAUCUGUGAUGUUAUUCAAUUUGUACAUUGAAGAAGCAGUAAAGGAAACCAACCAAAAGUUUGGAGUAGGAAGUGAAGUUCAGGGAGAAUAAAUAAAAACUUUGAGAUGCCAAUGACAUUGUAGUUCUGUCAGAGACAGCAAAGGAGUUGGAAGAGCAGUUGAAUGGAAUGGGCAGUGCUUUGAAAAGAGAAUAUAAGAUGAACAUCAACAAAAGUAAAACAAAGAUAAUGGAAUGUAUUCAAAUUAAAUCAGGUGAUGCCAAGGGAAUCAGAUUAGGAAAUUAGACACUUACAGUAGCAGAUGAGCUUUGUUAUUUGGUCAGCAAAAGAACCGAUGAUGGCCAAAGUUGAGAGGAUAUAAAAUGUAGACUGGCAAUGGCAAGGAAAGUGUUUCUGAAGAAGAGAAAUCUGUUAACAUAGAGUAUAGAUUUAAGUAUUAGGGACUCUUUUUGUGAAAGUAUUUGUCAGGAAUGUAGCCACGAAUGGAAGUGAGACAUGGAUGAUAAACAGUUUAGAUAAAAAGAGAAUAGAAGCUUUUGAAAUGUGGUGCUACAGAAGAAUGCUAAAGGUUAGAUUGGUCAGUCACGUAACUAAUGAGAAAGUACUGAAUAGGGUUUGGGAGACGAGGUUUGUGACAAACUUGACCAAAAGAAGGGAUUGGCUUAUAGCACACAUUUUUAAACAUCGAGGGAUCACCAGUUUAGUUUUUGAGGGACGUGUGGAGGAUAAAAAUCAUAGGAGAUCAAGAGAUGAAUACAGUAAGCAAAUUCUGAAAUACAUAAGUUGCAGUAGUUAUUCAGGGGUGAAGAGGCUUGCACCGGAAAGAGUAGCAUGUAGAGUUGCAUCAAACCAGUCUUCGGACUGAA
Schistocerca serialis cubense is the source of this 2822-nucleotide long non-coding RNA. RefSeq lists it as uncharacterized. Lineage: Eukaryota; Metazoa; Arthropoda; Insecta; Orthoptera; Acrididae. The transcript has 3 exons. The record is from RefSeq and is a predicted model, not a curated record.